RNAcentral lists this ribosomal RNA (253 nucleotides) under uncultured bacterium. RNAcentral's name for it is "partial 16S ribosomal RNA". It matches the Rfam family "Bacterial small subunit ribosomal RNA", at positions 524 to 776 of the family's 1533-position model. The record is from RNAcentral.
UACGGAGGGUGCAAGCGUUAUCCGGAUUUACUGGGUUUAAAGGGUGCGUAGGUGGGUCUGUAAGUCAGUGGUGAAAUCUCCGAGCUUAACUCGGAAAGGUCAACUGAUACUGUGCGGCUAGAGUGCGGAAGGGGCAACUGGAAUUCUUGGUGUAGCGGUGAAAUGCGUAGAUAUCAAGAGGAACACCUGCGGCGAAGGCGGGUUGCUGGGCCGACACUGACGCUGAGGCGCGAAAGCCAGGGGAGCGAACGGG